RNAcentral lists this ribosomal RNA (440 nucleotides) under uncultured bacterium. RNAcentral describes it as "partial 16S ribosomal RNA". It matches the Rfam family "Bacterial small subunit ribosomal RNA", at positions 338 to 795 of the family's 1533-position model. The record is from RNAcentral.
CCUACGGGAGGCAGCAGUAGGGAAUAUUGCACAAUGGGGGAAACCCUGAUGCAGCAACGCCGCGUGGGUGAUGAAGUUUUUCGGUUUGUAAAGUCCUAUCAUCAGAGAAGAUAAUGACGGUAUCUCACGAAUAAGCACCGGCUAACUCCGUGCCAGCAGCCGCGGUAAUACGUAGGGGGCAAGCGUUACUCGGAUUUACUGGGCGUAAAGGGUGCGCAGGCGGCCUUGUAAGUCUGAUGUGAAAUGCUGUGGCUUAACCACCGGACUGCAUUGGAAACUGUGAGUCUAGAGUGCGGGAGAGGUAAGUGGAAUUCCUGGUGUAGCGGUGAAAUGCGUAGAUAUCAGGAGGAAUACUCGUUGCGAAGGCGGCCUACUGGAACAUUACUGACGCUGAGGCACGAAAGCGUGGGGAGCAAACAGGAUUAGAUACCCGAGUAGUC